This 347-nucleotide unclassified non-coding RNA is filed under the name soil metagenome. RNAcentral's name for it is "partial contains 5.8S ribosomal RNA, internal transcribed spacer 2, and large subunit ribosomal RNA". The stretch from base 1 to 121 matches the Rfam family "5.8S ribosomal RNA", at positions 35 to 154 of the family's 154-position model. The record is from RNAcentral.
GAUGAAGAACGUAGCGAAAUGCGAUAAGUAAUGCGAAUUGCAGAAUUUCCGUGAGUCAUCGAAUCUUUGAACGCACAUUGCGCCCGCCAGUAUUCUGGCGGGCAUGCCUGUUCGAGCGUCAUUUCAACCCUCAAGCCCUCGGGUUUGGUGUUGGGGAUCGGCGAGCCUUUCUGGCAAGCCGGCCCCGAAAUCUAGUGGCGGUCUCGCUGCAGCCUCCAUUGCGUAGUAGUAAAACCCUCGCAACUGGAACGCGGCGCGGCCAAGCCGUUAAACCCCCAACUUCUGAAUGUUGACCUCGGAUCAGGUAGGAAUACCCGCUGAACUUAAGCAUAUCAAUAAGCGGAGGA